Non-coding RNA from Schistosoma haematobium, 45 nucleotides. The record is from Rfam. Lineage: Eukaryota; Metazoa; Platyhelminthes; Trematoda; Strigeidida; Schistosomatidae.
AUUCAGCUGAAGAAUGGCAAAUGGGACGAAACUCGCGUCCUGGAU